RNAcentral lists this ribosomal RNA (510 nucleotides) under uncultured bacterium. Its description in RNAcentral is "partial 16S ribosomal RNA". It matches the Rfam family "Bacterial small subunit ribosomal RNA", at positions 28 to 507 of the family's 1533-position model. The record is from RNAcentral.
GACGAACGCUGGCGGCGUGCUUAACACAUGCAAGUCGAACGAAGGGCGAUGGAAGCUUGCUUCUAUCAAUCUUAGUGGCGAACGGGUGAGUAACGCGUAAUCAACCUGCCCUUCAGAGGGGGACAACAGUUGGAAACGACUGCUAAUACCGCAUACGAUCUAACCUCGGCAUCGAGGAUAGAUGAAAGGUGGCCUCUACAUGUAAGCUAUCACUGAAGGAGGGGAUUGCGUCUGAUUAGCUAGUUGGAGGGGUAACGGCCCACCAAGGCGAUGAUCAGUAGCCGGUCUGAGAGGAUGAACGGCCACAUUGGGACUGAGACACGGCCCAGACUCCUACGGGAGGCAGCAGUGGGGAAUCUUCCGCAAUGGACGAAAGUCUGACGGAGCAACGCCGCGUGAGUGAUGACGGCCUUCGGGUUGUAAAGCUCUGUUAAUCGGGACGAAAGGCCUUCUUGCGAAUAGUUAGAAGGAUUGACGGUACCGGAAUAGAAAGCCACGGCUAACUACGUG